This 460-nucleotide ribosomal RNA is filed under the name uncultured bacterium. RNAcentral's name for it is "partial 16S ribosomal RNA". It matches the Rfam family "Bacterial small subunit ribosomal RNA", at positions 338 to 795 of the family's 1533-position model. The record is from RNAcentral.
CCUACGGGGGGCUGCAGUGAGGAAUAUUGGUCAAUGGACGAGAGUCUGAACCAGCCAAGUAGCGUGAAGGAUGACUGCCCUAUGGGUUGUAAACUUCUUUUAUAUGGGAAUAAAAUGUUCCACGUGUGGGAUUUUGUAUGUACCAUAUGAAUAAGGAUCGGCUAACUCCGUGCCAGCAGCCGCGGUAAUACGGAGGAUCCGAGCGUUAUCCGGAUUUAUUGGGUUUAAAGGGAGCGUAGGUGGAUUGUUAAGUCAGUUGUGAAAGUUUGCGGCUCAACCGUAAAAUUGCAAUUGAUACUGGCAGUCUUGAGUACAGUUGAGGUAGGCGGAAUUCGUGGUGUAGCGGUGAAAUGCUUAGAUAUCACGAAGAACUCCGAUUGCGAAGGCAGUUCACUGGACUGCAACUGACACUGAGGCUCGAAAGUGUGGGUAUCAAACAGGAUUAGAUACCCCAGUAGUC